Long non-coding RNA from Ochotona princeps (American pika), 736 nucleotides. RefSeq lists it as uncharacterized. Lineage: Eukaryota; Metazoa; Chordata; Mammalia; Lagomorpha; Ochotonidae. The transcript is spliced from 4 exons. The record is from RefSeq and is a predicted model, not a curated record.
GUGAGAGGCUCCAGGCUCUGCAGCUCCUGCCGCCCGUGACCGUCCUCUGCUCGUGAGAGGCUCCGGGCUCUGCAGCUCCUGCUGCCCGUGACCGUCCUCUGCUCGUGAGAGGCUCCAGGCAGUGCAGCCCCUGCUACCUGUGACCGUCCUCUGCUCGUGAGAGGCCCGGGACAGUGCAGCCGCUGCCGCCCCGAGACCUGCUCUGCUCGUGAGAGGCUCCAGGCUCUGCAGCCCCUGCUGCCCGUGACCGUCCUCCAGCACAGGAGCCCUCGGACGGACGCCCGACUCCUUAGACGCUGGGAAGUGGUGUAUUUCUGUAACCGACUACAUGCUUCCAAGUCUAGAGAACACAACCACACUUUCAGCCUGUUAUUAAUUAGUUGGGUCAGAAGUGGAGCAUCCAGGAAAUGAACCAAUGCCCAUGUGGUAUGUCAGUUUUUUUAUCUACUAAAGCAAAGGCCUGACUCCUGCUGCCUAUGCUUUGGUUUUUAUUUAAAAUGCAGAGUUGCAGAGAAAAGAUGAAAGAGAGUGAGUGAGCUAGAGAUCUCAGUGGGUCAUUCUCAAAAAGUUGCGAUUAGGGAAAUGUAAAUCAAUAUCACAAUGAAAUAUCACCCCAACCCUGUCCAAAUGAUUAUUAUUACUUGGAAGAAAGGGUAACAAAUGCUGGUGAAUAUGUGGAGAAUGAGAACUUUUAUACAAUGUUGAUGGGGUUAUAAAUUAAUUCGGUCACUGUAUA